UGUGUCCAAACUUUUGGUCUGUACUGUAUAUAUAAACUCUUCCUUUUCCAGCUGUAUUUAGAUGUUAUCUAUUGCAAUCUUUAAAUUAUAUCUAUAUUUUCAGCUAUUAAUGGCAACGUAUCUAAAUAUACUGUAAAAAAAAAAAAAGUUGAGAACCAUUAGAGUUGGAUAAAAUGGGCUUAUUCUUUUUCAUAUUUGUUAAAAUUAUUACUGAAUUAAUAUAAAUAAUUACAUAUAAAAAUAUGAAUAUAGAUAGAUAGAUAGAUAGAUAGAUAGAUAGAUAGAUAGAUAGAUAGAUAGAUAGAUAGAUAGAUUGAUACCACAUCAAUGUACCAACUAGUACUGUGUUUAUUACCAAAUUGCAUUUCAUACUUGUAAGAAUUACAGACUGCCUCGAACCUGAUUCCACCCCACACUAUAUAUCAAAUUCAGCUCAUCUGCAAAAUGGCUUAAAAUUGAUAAAAAGUAGUUAUGUAGUUUGACAUAGAAUUUCAGUUGAAUCAAUCCUAAUCAUAGUCUCAAUUGAAUCAGUCUGGGAGAGACAGCAAGCCAUCAAGGACCAUCUUUAACCAAAAGAUGCCUGAGACCAUGAUUAUCAUUUAAACAAUAACCUAUCCUGACCCGCUGGGGGGCCGGCACCAGCAAAGGUGUAAACAACAGUGACCUCCGUCUCGAUCACCCAGCCAGCUGUUCCCUUAUGCAUGUCCUACAUUUAAUUUACAUUUAAAGGAAAACUCCGGUCUAUACUUUAAAGGGAAGAACAAUAUAAAAUAUCUGGGCAGAGUUUGCUCUGGGUUCUUUCUGACUCUGAUGAACCCAAAGUGCUUUAUGUAUUUUGUCACUGCUACGCUGUUAUAAACUUCUUCAUUACGAUCUUCGUUGUCCUCAUUAUUUUUUCUUACAUACUCUAAACCAUUUAUUACUACAGAAAUGAUACUGUAAUGCUAUAAUGCUGUAAUAUUCUUGGAGAAAACUAAUUAACAGCUUUUGACCAAUCAGAUUCAAAAGUUUUAUUUUUAUUAUUUUUUUUCUUCAGUACAAUAAAUAUUACAGGAAUGCAAAUGAGUAAAAUAAACCUCGACUUGCCUAAUGAUGUGCAUAGUUGAACAAAAUUCCAUCAGUAGCUAAAUUGCUUAUAAUCAAUUUAUCUGGAAUUUUAUAAAAUUUUAUUUAAUACUUUAUUGCAGAAAAUAUACAAUCUUGUACAAGAGAGAUAUUAAAACAAUUGUUAUUCAACCUGGUUAAAAAUUGUUAAAAACAAAAUAUAAAACCACUGAAAAGAAUUGUGCUCUUUUUGACUCCACCUCCCAUCCAAUCCCUUAUACACUAAGCCCCGCCCUCCAGAUUACACAGUGACCAAAGGCAUUUAUCCACAUUAGUCCAGCAGAUUUAAUAAAACAUGCAAAAUAUUGAUACAUCCAUUAACUCAUUUGGUCCUGGAGUUUGUAAUGUAAAUGAUAAUUAAUGAUUAGUUGUUCCCAACUGGCCAACAGUUGGCGGCUUCCUCCCCUUUGCCCUCACUAGAACCUCCAUGUUAUUAAAGCAGCUCCCAAAUUUAUUUGUAACACAAAAUACAACACAAAUAUUAAUCAGUGUACCUUUACCAGUUUCUCUGAAUCGAGAAACUUCCUGGUCCACGAGACUGGGUCCAGAUUCCUAACAACCAAAUCCAGCUGGCUCGAAGGCGCUUAAAAAGAGCGGAGACGACUGCAGACAGUGAGGAGACUAACAGGACAUGCACAUAUAAAACAGGUGCUGAUUGUCAGGUCGAUGUGCAAAAUGCUUAAGAUGACUUUUUCUCAUGGAGUUCAUGCAGUUUGGACUGCACCAUGUUCCAGUGAUGUUUAAAGAACUAUCAAAGUCCUCAAGGUCAUUUUGUUCCUAAUGCAAGGGCUUGAUAGAUAUAGACAAAAGAAAAUAUGCGAUUUUCUACAAGGACAGGAAGAACUUGCUUAUUAAACAACCAAAACCUCCCAAACUCUCUGGCGUCCAUACAUGCAGGACAUCGAUUAUUAUAUUUUUAUGUUUCAAUACAAAAAUAUAUCCUGUGUGGGUAUAAUUGUAUGUGGAUGGCGGGUCAUGGAUCAUUUGGUUGGAGGUAUAAUGUAUAAUGUAUUUUUUACCAGUGUUUACUAAGAAAUGGUAACUAGUUACACUUACUAGUUACUUCAUUCAAUUACUUUGUUGAUUACUUACACCAAAAAGUAAUGCAUUACUGUUUAAAGUAACUUUUUAGUUAAUUUUUUAAAGAACGUUCUUUAAUGUUCCCAU
Silurus meridionalis is the source of this 2271-nucleotide long non-coding RNA. RefSeq lists it as uncharacterized. The record is from RefSeq and is a predicted model, not a curated record. Lineage: Eukaryota; Metazoa; Chordata; Actinopteri; Siluriformes; Siluridae. The transcript is spliced from 3 exons.